UUGCUUGAGUAGCUGAAGGAGUUUAAGGGCAGUCAGUUUAUGCUCCCGUUUAUUGAAGAUAUUCAAGAGUUCUUAGGCAGAAUGGAAGAAGCUGCUAAGAAGAAACACCCAGGAAAUAAAGGAUUCUGAAGGGGGAGAGGUGUCCAAAUCAGUGUUGAGAUGUUGGUGAGUGGAAGAACAUGAUACAGAGAAGCAAGGGAAGGAGAAAACAAUCUGAGCCCUGGGAAUUAUACUACAGAUCGAAAGCUGCUUUGCGUCGCAGUUGGAGCAGCACCCCCACUGCAAGUGGCAUUGAAGGGAGCGUGAAGCUGCAUGAGGGGUCUCAGGUCCUGCUCACGAGCUCUAAUGAGAUGGGUACUGUUAGGUACGUGGGCCCCACUGACUUUGCUUCAGGUAUCUGGCUUGGACUUGAGCUCCGAAGUGCC
Molecule: small RNA, 425 nt
Filed under: Pongo abelii (Sumatran orangutan)
Lineage: Eukaryota; Metazoa; Chordata; Mammalia; Primates; Hominidae
Description: processed transcript
Source: RNAcentral